AGUACUGCAGUGUGCGGCGCAUGGCUGCGAGGGCCUGCCGAGGGGCGGGCGCGAGUCGGAAAGACACCGACCAGGGAAUGGGCGACGAGGCUUGCCUUAAUUCGGAGGAAACCCAGGACUUGAGAGAGCCAUACAAUUUGAAAGACGAAGCACCGUGAAAUGCAGAAAGUUGUGGUUCGGAUAGCUCAGCUGAUUAAUUUCAUGUUGCCACAGUUUGUCAAACAUGGACAAGAUGGCUGGGGUCCUGUGGAGUUCUAGUAAUCUUCUUACGAUAAUAAAGCAACCUUAUGCCAUAUGAUAUGCUAAGGAUGGAGGAAGAUAGAGUCUAGGUGCCUGAUGACAACAUGGAGCUGUCAAGCCCUGCAUUGCCUCCCCCUGGACGUCUCAUUAUGGGAGAAAAUGAAGCAAUUUGUUUAAGC
RNAcentral lists this long non-coding RNA (419 nucleotides) under Homo sapiens (human). RNAcentral describes it as "HSALNT0368039". Lineage: Eukaryota; Metazoa; Chordata; Mammalia; Primates; Hominidae. The record is from RNAcentral.